RNAcentral lists this ribosomal RNA (468 nucleotides) under uncultured bacterium. RNAcentral describes it as "partial 16S ribosomal RNA". It matches the Rfam family "Bacterial small subunit ribosomal RNA", at positions 28 to 507 of the family's 1533-position model. The record is from RNAcentral.
GACGAACGCUGGCGGCGUGCUUAGCACAUGCAAGUCGAACGGAAAGGCCCUGCUUUUGUGGGGUGCUCGAGUGGCGAACGGGUGAGUAACACGUGAGUAACCUGCCCUUGACUUUGGGAUAACUUCAGGAAACUGGGGCUAAUACCGGAUAGGAGCUCCUGCUGCAUGGUGGGGGUUGGAAAGUUUCGGCGGUUGGGGAUGGACUCGCGGCUUAUCAGCUUGUUGGUGGGGUAGUGGCUUACCAAGGCUUUGACGGGUAGCCGGCCUGAGAGGGUGACCGGCCGCAUUGGGACUGAGAUACGGCCCAGACUCCUACGGGAGGCAGCAGUGGGGAAUAUUGCACAAUGGGCGGAAGCCUGAUGCAGCAACGCCGCGUGCGGGAUGACGGCCUUCGGGUUGUAAACCGCUUUCGCCUGUGACGAAGCGUGAGUGACGGUAAUGGGUAAAGAAGCACCGGCUAACUACGUG